Daktulosphaira vitifoliae (grape phylloxera) is the source of this 2830-nucleotide long non-coding RNA. RefSeq lists it as uncharacterized. The record is from RefSeq and is a predicted model, not a curated record. The transcript has 3 exons. Lineage: Eukaryota; Metazoa; Arthropoda; Insecta; Hemiptera; Phylloxeridae.
UAUGCGUCGUGUCGUAAUGCUCUGUUACUUUACGUGACUAGUUGUUCAAAGCGCAUCUUUGAUUUAAAUAUAAUUUAUUCAAAUAAUUAUUAUUUUAAUAAAUUCACUUUAUGAGAAACUAAGAGCCAAUAAACUGUACAACUACAACUUGACUAUGUGUUGUUUUAACGUACGAGCUCAUUUCUGAUUAAAUUGGCACAGACUAUUGUAAACAGAGUCGAAUUCAGAAUUUUUUUAUUCUAUAGGCGUUCUAGAUAUUAGUGCAAUCAGAAAAAUUUUUUUUUAAAAAUAAUAUCAUUAAAUUACUAUAAAAAGAGUGGGUUUUAACUUAAUAUUAAUUGAACAUUGCGUUAAUUUUCAACAAUAGUUGCAUUAUAGUAGUCCCCUGAUAGUUAGGAGGCUACCAAAAUUCCAAAAGGGCUUCAGCCUUAGUCACAAUUCAACUAUUAUCAUAACUGCUAAUUUACAUAAACAUUUUAAGUAUUUAUUUUCUAAGAAAAUUAUAUUAAUAUGUGCAACAAACAAAAGUUUUUUAUUUAUGUAUUUUUCUUUAUUCAUUAUAAUUAAAAAACAGAUUUAUUUUUUUUAACAACAUUAUGUAUGUAAUGUACAUAAUUACAUUAUGUAGUAUUCAUAUGUAAAUAUUUUAUGUUGAGAUUAUUGGGUUACAACUGAAGUUCUGAUAAAGAGAGUAUUAAAUUAUAAACUUAUAAAUAAUCUAUAAAAAUCAUUAUGUGAAGACGAAAUCAUAUUUCCCAAGUUUUUAUUUCUAUGAAUUAUUUUAAUAAAAUAAUUAACUGAUAUAAUUUCACGAGAUCUUAGUACGCUUAAAAGGAAACGGCUUUAAUUGAAAGCCCAUCAGAUAUUUUUGAAUAUUUGUAAGACUUAAAUUUAACAAUUAAGCGAAUGGUAAAUUUUUUUAAAAGCAAAGUCUUUGAAUAAUUCUUAUGCUCAUAAUUAAACUGUAAUCAGGAAGACUAUAAUAAAAUCUAAACAUUUUGGAGGAACAAUUAUUAUCCGAAGGUACUUCAUAAAAUAGUUUAUGUAAUUCAAACAUAAAACCUUUUAAAUUAAAAUAAGUACUUUAAGCUCUUCAAAGUGUAAUUGAAAAUAUUUAUUUCAACGCGGGUUAUGAACGGUGACAAUACAAGUAAAAGCUAAUGGGUUAAUUUUACGAUGCUGUGCCUUUCACAUGAAAAUUUUAAUAUUCAUACCGUAAGGUGCAACAUGGUACGAUUCAAUAGCAAGAGAUGGACCGACUUAUUGAUUAUUCAAGUUUAGAAAGUAAAAUAGUUUCGCGAAUUUGUACUACAGUCACAUAACAGUAUACCAUUUCUCAUGAAAUAUAAAAAAUAAAAUUAAUUUAAUGACAUUCAGUUUACUACAUUCAAAUUACUGGAAUAUUACAUUGCAUUAUAAGUUAUGUCUUCAGGACAACUAGAAAGUAAUAACUUUCAAUGAUAAAUUAGACCAGAAACAUCAGCUGCAAACGAAACUAAGUUUAAAACUUGAAACUUUAGUAUUGUGAUUAGUCAACACCAUAAUUUUAACUGUUUCCAUAAUGUAUCCUUACAAUAAUUUAAAGUUCAUUUUUAAAAUAAAUUUACAUUAAAAUUAUUAUGGUUUUUAUACCUUAAUCGGUAUAAAAAAUCAUGAUUAAGUUUUUUGGAAAUAUUUACAAAUGUUUUAAUUAAAAGACUAAAGUAGUAAUAUUUUCCUUACAAAUAGCUAAAACCUAACAGCGUUUUAAGGUUUCUUCCAAUAGUAGUCUAUUAAAGAACAUAUAACAGAGACGUGGAAUAAAAUCAGGAAAUUCCUAAUUCAUAGGUUGCAAGACCUUUUACAUUGAAAUAUCAUCAAAUAUUUUUUCAGUGUAGUUCACUUCUGAAGAAAGAGAUACGUAUAAUCUUUUCGUUAAUUAUAUACGAAAUGGCUUUAAAACUAAUUGUUACUACUAACUUCUUAAGUUUAAAAUAAAUACAAAGUCUUUCUAUAUUGGUAUAAAUUGUUCGCUGAGAUAUGCAAGACCUAAUUAAUAAAAGAUCAAAUCAGCAACGAGUAAAGACAUGAAUAAUAGAGUACUUUUUUGAUACUGGUAAUUUUAUGUGUUCUAAAAAUUCGAAUUUUAUUUUGAUAUGUGUUUUUAAAACUAUAAAUUAAGUAUCUAUUAUUGAAUGAGGCAUAAAAGAUAAUAAAUUAACUAUGUCAGUGCAUAUAAUCAAUUCAUCAUAAAUUGCUUAUUUAAUUAGUUAUACAUGCAAUAAUGAAACUUUGUUCCACCAGAGCUUUAGGGUUGAGGUUUAAAAGAUAACGACCGCUGGCGUUGUAGUUUUAAUGCCGUACACUUAAGAUAACUUUUUCCAAACGACAUUAUUAAACCUCUUCUGAAUUAUGAUUACCUAAACAAUUUAUUAUGAUACAGGCAAGAAUUUUUAUACUGACUAAGCGCUACAAUUGUUUCCAUUAAGAGUAAAAAAGCUUUUUAACUCCAAAAUUUUGUAUAAGCCUUCGUAUCAGUUUAAUAAUGUAACAUGCACGCCAAUUAUUAAAUAUGAACUAAUUUACAAAAUUUGGAUCGGUAGUAAAAAAAACUUAUAUGGAAUGGCUUUAUAAUUACUCGCAGACAAUAUUGUGGAAAGAGUAAAACGUUGUUUAGAACAAUUUUUACCUUCAAAUUUAAAUAUUAUGAAGAUAUAAAUUGUCAUUCAUGUAAUGACAUUAUAAAAACAAUAUUCGAAUAAAUAUUGUACAAAUAGUAAUUUUUAAAAAGCUAUUUGUUAAAAUUUUACAUAUUUUAAUAAAUGAUGAUAUUCGCAUAAAAACAUCAUGA